AUGCACACCCGAUCAGGCCCGACGUCUGUUCCGUCGAGCUCGGCAGCGGCAAGUAGCCAUGCCAGCUCCAGAGGAGACGCCGUCCCAGUUCUUGUCGGCCAUGUUGCGGCCGUUCCUGUCGGCCAUGUUGCGGCCGUUCCUGUCGGCCAUGUUGCGGCCGUUCUAGUCCCUGUUCCUGUUCCUGUCGGCCAAGUAGAGGUCGUUCCUGUCGGCCAAGUAGAGGUCGUUCCUGUCGGCCAAGUAGAGGUCGUUCCUGUCGGCCAAGUAGAUGCCGUUCCAGUCCCUGUCGGCCAAGUAGAUGCCGUUCCAGUCCCUGUCGGCCAAGUAGAUGCCGUUCCAGUCCCUGUCGGCCAAGUAGAUGCCGUUCCAGUCCCUGUCGGCCAUGUUGCGGCCUCUGUCGGCCAUGUUGCGGCCGUUCCAGUCUCUGUCGGCCAUGUUGCGGCCGUUCCAGUUCCUGUCACCCUCGGAGCCGCAGCGCCCGCCGGCCUCCAGGAGGAGGCGGCGCCGGCUGCAGUCCCCGCGCACCUCCAGGAGGAGGCGGCGCCGGCUGCAGUCCCCGCGCACCUCCAGGAGGAGGCGGCGCCAGCUGCAGUCCCCGCGCACCUCCAGGAGGAGGUCGCGCCAGCUGCAGUCCCCGCGCACCUCCAGGAGGAGGUCGCGCCAGCUGCAGUCCCCGCGCACCUCCAGGAGGAGGUCGCGCCAGCUGCAGUCCCGCGCCCUCCAGGAGGAGGUCGCGCCAGCUGCAGUCCCCGCGCACCUCCAGGAGGAGGUCGCGCCAGCUGCAGUCCCCGCGCACCUCCAGGAGGAGGUCGCGCCAGCUGCAGUCCCCGCGCACCUCCAGGAGGAGGUCGCGCCAGCUGCAGUCCCCGCGCACCUCCAGGUGGAGGUCGCGCCAGCUGCAGUCCCCGCGCACUUCCAGGAGGAGGUCGCGCCAGCUGCAGUCCCCGCGCACCUCCAGGAGGAGGUCGCGCCAGCUGCAGUCCCCGCGCACCUCCAGGAGGAGGUCGCGCCAGCUGCAGUCCCCGCGCACCUCCAGGAGGAGGUCGCGCCAGCCGCAGUCCCGCGCACCCCAGGAGGGGGUCGCGCCAGCUGCAGUCCCCGCGCACCCCAAGAGGGGGUCGCGCCAGCUGCAGUCCCCGCGCACCUCCAGGAGGGGGUCGCGCCAGCUGCAGUCCCCGCGCACCUCCAGGAGGGGGUCGCGCCAGCUGCAGUCCCCGCGCACCUCCAGGAGGGGGUCGCGCCAGCUGCAGUCCCCGCGCACCUCCAGGAGGGGGUCGCGCCAGCUGCAGUCCCGGCGCACCUCCAGGAGGGGGUCGCGCCCGUCGCAGUCCCGGCGGACCUCCAGGAGGGGGUCGCGCCCGUCGCAGUCCCGGCGGACCUCCAGGAGGGGGUCGCGCCCGUCGCAGUCCCGGCGGACCUCCAGGAGGGGGUCGCGCCCGUCGCAGUCCCGGCGGACCUCCAGGAGGGGGUCGCGCCCGUCAUAGUUCCUGCCCUCCUCCAGGAGGGUGUUGUUCCUGGCGGCCCGGCCGCACCUGCAUCGGUUCCUGGCGGCCCGGCCGCACCUGCAUCGGCUGGCGGCCCGGCCGCCUGCAUCGGUUCCUGGGGCCCGGCCGCACCUGCAUCGGUUCCUGGCGGCUCGGCCCCGGCCGCACCUGCAUCGGUUCCUGGCGGCUCGGCCCCGGCCGCACCUGCAUCGGUUCCUGGCGGCUCGGCUCCGGCCGCACCUGCAUCGGUUCCUGGCGGCUCGGCUCCGGCCGCACCUGCAUCGGUUCCUGGCGGCUCGGCUCCGGCCGCACCUGCAUCGGUUCCUGGCGGCUCGGCUCCGGCCGCACCUGCAUCGGUUCCUGGCGGCUCGGCUCCGGCCGCACCUGCAUCGGUUCCUGCCUCGUCUCUGGCUCCGCCGCCGGACGGGUGGCCUCGCCCUCGGUACCUCCCGCUGCUUGGAUGGCGCUGCCUCCUGCGGCGCCGUCCGCCUCGACUCCUCAACCGCCUGGAUCAGCGUCCGCCAGGAGGACAUCGCCGUUCGGGGGGAUCCCCGUGGACGCUGGCCCAGCCCAAGGGCACUGGGUGGGGUUCCCUGCCUCAGCGGCGGCUGGGCAGGCUCACGCCGCGUCCCCACCCGCCUUAAGAAGGAGCAGCGGGACUUUUCUGUUAUUCAUGCACCCUGGACAUCUCCCAUGGACUCUGUUCUUGUUUCACGGACAUUCGUGUUGUCUUCUUGAUUUUGGGACUCGGUCUUGUUUUGUUUUUCUGUUGGGUCCUCUUGGUCUGUCGAGUUCGGGCGUGAGUUUUGUUUUGAUGGGGGUUCCCGUUCUGCCCUCCCCCAGUCCGCCCUCCGCCCGCCCUGUCGGUGUUCUGUGCGGGUUGUUUUUGGUUCUGUCCCUCCGCCGGUCCUCCCUCCGCCCGCCCUGCUCGGGUUUGUUGUUUUUUGUUUGGUCGUCUGGAAUCCGCCCUUGGGGGGGGGGUACUGUCACGAUCUGGGUUUUGUGUCUAGUUGUUUCCGGUUUUAUUUUGGUAAUCUCCCGGUCUCUGUUUUUGGUUUGA
Betta splendens (Siamese fighting fish) is the source of this 2544-nucleotide long non-coding RNA. The record is from Ensembl. NCBI's taxonomy places the organism in Eukaryota, Metazoa, Chordata, Actinopteri, Anabantiformes, Osphronemidae.